Nannospalax galili (Upper Galilee mountains blind mole rat) is the source of this 3684-nucleotide long non-coding RNA. RefSeq lists it as uncharacterized. Lineage: Eukaryota; Metazoa; Chordata; Mammalia; Rodentia; Spalacidae. The record is from RefSeq and is a predicted model, not a curated record. The transcript has 4 exons.
AGAAGGCUGUUCUCUGCCUGUAGCAAUCAUAUUACACAACCCUCAGGUAUGACUUUCAUUGAGCUGUGAACUGGCUGAGCACAGUAUUCACUUACAUCUCUGUCCCAAGGCUCCUUAUACAAUGCAGGCCACUAGCACUGGUGAUGCAACAGACUAAGAAGUCUUCACAAGAAGCAGCUCAGAACCCUCAGGGAUCAAAGACUCUACAGUGGGCAUAUUGGUAAGGAAACAUAUCAUAAGUGCCCAGAAGGCAAGAACCUCACCUUGAAGGAUACCUGGAAGAUAUGUGAAAUCUGAGCAAUCUCAGGUGCGAUCAGAUGCCGCGAAGGACCGGAUGGAUCAAUACUCCCAGCAGCAAGCCGCUCGAUACCCCCUGAAUUAUUGCUUCAUUUUUCUUCUUAUUAUAGAUGAGUUGUGUUAUUAUUUUCCCCAAAUCGAUAUUUUACAACCUUUUUUAUCCGUUUCUCCAUAAAUUUUGUGAUUACUUUAAACUGGGAAUUCCGGUACGCUAAAUAAGAUGCAGUAUCUGGAAGGAACAGAAUGUACUGACAUGUUUUUUGGUUUUGUUUUUGUGUUACUGUUUUAGACAUUAUGCCUUGUUUAAAGGCACAUCGUAAUCAAUAGCUGAGGGGGAAAAACGUUCAUGGAGAAAAGUUUAACAUAACCCUGCGCUUGCAAAAUGAAAAGUGCAUAUCCAUCCUUUUAAACAGCAGCAGCCCAAACAGCACAAAGCUGGGGGGGGGGGAAUGGAGGGAGGUGGGAUUGAUCAGUGCUUUGCAUCUGAAAUUUCAUUCCUAAUGCUUUCUCUCCCCUCCAGUUACAGGGCCAAUGCAAUCUCCUUAAAUCAUUUCUCACAAAGGAGAUUACUCUAUGCACCUUGGAGAGAUUUAAUUGGCUUCUAUAGCUGUCUGUUGCUAAGUGUUUAAAACAUCUCCAAAUCAAAUCAGCAUUGGGACAUGCCACCAACAUGGGGAUACGGACCUCAUCUCUCACUGCAUCACAAUCUGCCUAGAGUUCACACCCUCAUCCAUGUUCACCCUGUCAGUCAGCUGCCUUGCCAUCCAGCAGUAACUGGAACAGCCUAUGGAGCUGGGAUGCAGCAGGGUUCUCUUUUCAGGCAGGUUUUAAUCUUGGGUCUGAUUAUGAUCAUCCUGAAAUAUUUUUACCAUUAUAUUACCAUUGCUCCUGACGAUUCUGCCUCUAGGUCCACUAAGCUCACUAAACACAGCACAAGCUAUUGCUUCUUAUCCUCCAUGACCACCAGGGGAUGAGACUUAAAGGGAGGAUGGAGGGUCCACACAGAUUGUGGACCAGCAAUAUCACCAGCAUUGGAUUAGGAGAUGUAACAGGGAUGGAAUGUUUCUGAGAACACUACCUGGUCCUUCUCUGAUUAGGCCUUGAGAAAAAUCACCCUUCGGUCCUAGUUAGGUCUCCCAAGAGCAUGUGGCAGAUAAUCUGCUGUUGUAAGGACUUCCACUGAAGACAGGGCGAAAGAAACACCCUUCACCUGUGUGACUGUGCUUUGCCCACACUGAAAACACCACUUGGCUCUUUCACAGGACUUUAAUUUACUCAGGGGUAAAGAAAGUCUCCCUUUCCUUUUGUCAACAGAAAGACAAGGAUGUAAACAGGUCAAAACAAAAUCUGUGGUACCCUUUCUGCAAAUAGAUUACAAAUUGGAAGGCCCAAAGCAUCAAGCAUCUAGAUGACCCUAAGUUCUGCUUCAAAGUUUGCUCAAAGACUGGUGUCCUUAGAUAUUAAAGAGUGGCUAUCCAAUGGCCACAAUGACACAGGGUAAAUGAUGCACACAUACAUUCAAAAAGUCGAUGACUUUAAAUAUUCGAAUAUUUAGGAAUCCACUGACAGAACAGAAAAAUCUUAUAUAUGAUUCUGUUUUGUAUGCAUUAUCAAUCCUAUAUUAGUUUGGAAAAGGCUCUGCCUUUAUCUGAGCCUCAGACAAUUCCUUUGCAAUUGUCAGGACUGGUCCAGGCCGUCUCUGGGGACCUUUCUAUCUCUGUAACACAGAUCACUGAACUCUGUUCUCAUAGUUUUUCUUUUUUAAUGUAUACAUUUAUUCAAUGAACUUGAGUCAUUUUCACCCCUCAUUCCCCUCCCUCUCCUGCUGACACACUUCUUAGCAAGUCCUCCCUCUUACUGUGUGUGGUCACUGGUUUAAUUAGUUACUCACCUGGGCAUGAGUAGGAGAUUAUUCAACAGAGCAGGAGCAACUUAUCUGCGGUUAUAUCACUGAAGAAAAUGACACCACCUUCCCUAACAAGUGUUAGUUUCCAAUAGUCCUUUUGGGAGGGCUGGAACCUCACAGGGCCCUUUCCUCAUCCAUGAUGAAAUGUUGAUGAGCCCAAUCUUGUGCAGGUCUUAGGUAGAUAACCACAGCUGCAGAGAGUCCAUGAGUGCAAUGGCUGUGUCAUGUCCAGAAUACAUUUAUUUGCUGCACAUCUUCCCCCUGGCUCUUACAAUCUUUUCACUCCCUUAAUGUUCCUUAUGGAUUCUUUCUGGAUGAGGUCUCCCAUUAAUUGAGUACUUAUUAUAUACUGCACACUAUGGUAAGCUUUUCAUGUGCCUUACUGAAUUCUCAGUCAUCCUAGAAAGAUCAUUCCAAUUUUCCAGAUAAAGAAAUGGAGUCUUAGGCUGGUUAAGAAACUUGCAAGGAUUUGGACCAGUUUCUUAAUAACCAAAUGUUAAGGGAGUCUAAGGGACAUGGCAUAGUAAGGAAACAGCCUCCUAGAAGACAGGCAGAAGAGGAGGAACAAGAUAUUAAAAAACUACUAGCUGAGUGACUUCAGUUAAGUCUUUAAAACUCUAUAAACCUAGCUUAUGUCAUCUAUCAAGUAGCCAACCAGUUGGCUAACUAGCUUAUCUUUCAGGCUUAUAAUUUCAUAAAUUUAUGGCCACAUUUUUCAUCUUUCCUUCAUGCCUUCAUCCAUUUGACUUGCCUCAUGCUUAUCAUGUCCCAGUCUGUACUAGGCACUUGAGAACAUGGUAGUGAACAAGACAGACAAGAACCUGCCUUCCUGGAGCUUGCAUUCCACUGUGAGACAUGAGCAUAUGCCACCCAGAUCAUAUGAACUGCUAUAGGUGCAAUGAAUCCAAUAAAAACACAACACGUAACCAAAGUGCCAGGGCUGGGAAGGCUGAGACUCUAGAAGCCCCUUUCCAAUUAGUGUAUUAUCUCCUUAGAAGACGAAAGGGGGAGCAAUAUCAGUGGAAGGCAAUUGUGACACACAGAGGCUCAACACACAGGUGUGUUCUUCGGCCCCUGACAUACAAUAUUCUGACAAGUUGCAGAUUUGUUUUCCUUUGUUGUUAGUAAUAUUAUUCAGUGAAAAUUCCAAGCCUUUAGAUGAUCCUCUUAUACACUCUGAGCUAAGUUCAGUACAAUACAUUUCAUUUCUCCAGUGUUCAGGAAAUUAAAGCAGUACAAGAUAUAAGCCUGCUCAAAACAGCUUCUCCAGAGAUAGUCAUUCACCCAAACUUCCUGACACCUUUGAGAAGCCAUCCUGGCCUGCAGGACUGCUCAAGAAAUCGGUUAGAGCUGAAGGAAAUAAAACACCUGUGUGUGUGUGUGUGUGUGUGUGUGUGUGAUGACUACAGAGGUCAUACUUUGUGUAGAGAGUUAAAUGGCAAUGUAUUUUUGACAUUAAACAAAGCUCUAAAUUAGCUCCA